Molecule: ribosomal RNA, 1236 nt
Filed under: Alteribacillus persepolensis
Lineage: Bacteria; Bacillati; Bacillota; Bacilli; Caryophanales; Bacillaceae
Description: bacterial SSU rRNA
Rfam family: Bacterial small subunit ribosomal RNA
Source: RNAcentral
GAUCAUGGCUCAGGACGAACGCUGGCGGCGUGCCUAAUACAUGCAAGUCGAGCGCGGGAAGCAGUCUGAUCCCUUCGGGGUGACGAUUGUGGAACGAGCGGCGGACGGGUGAGUAACACGUGGGCAACCUGCCUUGCAGACUGGGAUAACCUCGGGAAACCGGGGCUAAUACCGGAUAACCAAUCUCAUCGCAUGGAGAGAUUGUAAAAGUAGGGAUUAUCCUUACACUGCAAGAUGGGCCCGCGGCGCAUUAGCUAGUUGGUGGGGUAAGAGCUCACCAAGGCGACGAUGCGUAGCCGACCUGAGAGGGUGAUCGGCCACACUGGGACUGAGACACGGCCCAGACUCCUACGGGAGGCAGCAGUAGGGAAUCAUCCGCAAUGGGCGAAAGCCUGACGGUGCAACGCCGCGUGAGUGAAGAAGGUUUUCGGAUCGUAAAGCUCUGUUAUUAGGGAAGAACAAGUACAGCUCGAAGAGGGCUGUACCUUGACGGUACCUAAUCAGAAAGCCCCGGCUAACUACGUGCCAGCAGCCGCGGUAAUACGUAGGGGGCAAGCGUUGUCCGGAAUUAUUGGGCGUAAAGGGCGCGCAGGCGGUUUCCUAAGUCUGAUGUGAAAGCCCACGGCUCAACCGUGGAGGGUCAUUGGAAACUGGGGAACUUGAGUGCAAGAGAGGAGAGCGGAAUUCCACGUGUAGCGGUGAAAUGCGUAGAGAUGUGGAGGAACACCAGUGGCGAAGGCGGCUCUCUGGCUUGCAACUGACGCUGAGGCGCGAAAGCGUGGGGAGCGAACAGGAUUAGAUACCCUGGUAGUCCACGCCGUAAACGUUGAGUGCUAGGUGUUAGGGGUUUCGAUGCCCUUAGUGCCGCAGCAAACGCAUUAAGCACUCCGCCUGGGGAGUACGACCGCAAGGUUGAAACUCAAAGGAAUUGACGGGGGCCCGCACAAGCGGUGGAGCAUGUGGUUUAAUUCGACGCAACGCGAAGAACCUUACCAGGUCUUGACAUCUUCUGCUACUUCCAGAGAUGGAUUUGUUCCCCUUCGGGGGACAGAAUGACAGGUGGUGCAUGGUUGUCGUCAGCUCGUGUCGUGAGAUGUUGGGUUAAGUCCCGCAACGAGCGCAACCCUUGACCUUAGUUGCCAGCAUUCAGUUGGGCACUCUAGGGUGACUGCCGGUGACAAACCGGAGGAAGGUGGGGAUGACGUCAAAUCAUCAUGCCCCUUAUGACCUGGGCUA